GAUGAACGCUGGCGGCGUGCCUAAUACAUGCAAGUCGAGCGAACGGACGAGAAGCUUGCUUCUCUGAUGUUAGCGGCGGACGGGUGAGUAACACGUGGAUAACCUACCUAUAAGACUGGGAUAACUUCGGGAAACCGGAGCUAAUACCGGAUAAUAUUUUGAACCGCAUGGGUCAAAAGUGAAAGACGGUCUUGCUGUCACGUAUAGAUGGAUCCGCGCUGCAUUAGCUAGUUGGUAAGGUAACGGCUUACCAAGGCAACGAUGCAUAGACGACCUGAGAGGGUGAUCGGCCACACUGGAACUGAGACACGCUCCAGACUCCUGCGGGACGCAGCAGUAGGGAAUCUUCCGCAAUGGGCGAAAGCCUGACGGAGCAACGCCGCGUGAGUGAUGAAGGUCUUCGGAUCGUAAAACUCUGUUAUUAGGGAAGAACAUAUGUGUAAGUAACUGUGCACAUCUUGACGGUACCUAAUCAGAAAGCCACGGCUAACUACGUG
RNAcentral lists this ribosomal RNA (497 nucleotides) under uncultured bacterium. RNAcentral describes it as "partial 16S ribosomal RNA". It matches the Rfam family "Bacterial small subunit ribosomal RNA", at positions 28 to 507 of the family's 1533-position model. The record is from RNAcentral.